Molecule: transfer RNA, 74 nt
Filed under: Myxococcales bacterium
Lineage: Bacteria; Pseudomonadati; Myxococcota; Myxococcia; Myxococcales
Description: tRNA-Pro
Rfam family: tRNA
About the family: Transfer RNA (tRNA) molecules are approximately 80 nucleotides in length. Their secondary structure includes four short double-helical elements and three loops (D, anti-codon, and T loops). Further hydrogen bonds mediate the characteristic L-shaped molecular structure. tRNAs have two regions of fundamental functional importance: the anti-codon, which is responsible for specific mRNA codon recognition, and the 3' end, to which the tRNAs corresponding amino acid is attached (by aminoacyl-tRNA synthetases). tRNAs cope with the degeneracy of the genetic code in two manners: having more than one tRNA (with a specific anti-codon) for a particular amino acid; and 'wobble' base-pairing, i.e. permitting non-standard base-pairing at the 3rd anti-codon position.
Source: RNAcentral
CGGGGUGUGGCGCAGUCUGGAUAGCGUCCGGUCUUGGGGACUGGAGGUCGCGGGUUCGAAUCCCGUCAUCCCGA